AGCUCGUCCGGCUCCAGCCCGGUCUCGGUGUCCAGCCCGCAGAUGACGAAGUAGUCAGCGAAGCGGCCGGGUGCCGAGGAGCCGCCGCCGCCGCCGCCGCUCAUGCUGGAGCGCGAGAGCUUUCAACAUCAACAUUGUGUACAGUGCAAAAAGAAGAAAUCCAUAAAGCAGACAAAGGAAGCAGAUGAACGAAGCUGUAGCAACUUCACGUUGUGAGUCUUCCAUCAGGAAUUCAUGUCAGAAAAAGCAAAAUAUGUAAGACUUUCUAUGUGAGAAGAUGAAAUGAGCUGUAUCAAUUACCUUCCAGUGCAAAGUAUAAACCCUAAUUUUGUAUAUAUAUAAAAGUAUAAAAAAAGAUUACUGUUGUACAUGAUAAAGAAAUAACUUCCAGAUAGCAGGAAGUCUAACUAGGUGUUCUGAAAUAAAGGUACAAACAGAACAAAUCUCACCCACAGAUGAUCAUCAGUUCAGUUUAAUUUUUAUAGUCAUCAAAAAAAUACCAUUUCAGAACUCAUCAUAAGUGAAUCAAAAAUUAGGCUUAGCAGCAAGUUCGGCAUACUUCAUUGUACCCAAAAUACAAUGUUUCACAUUUUGUAUAAUAGCUUUACUAUCAAAUGGCAAGAGGCAUUUAUUCAUGGUGUCAUCCAGAUAUCGUUUACAAAAAGUUCUAGAAGAUAAACAGGUCACCUAACAGCUCUUUUUUUUUUUUUUUUGUAGUUAAACAAUACUUUCCUGAUUUCCAAGUUUGCUUCACAGUAGACACUUUUUCUGGCAGAAAUGUACGACUCUCUCUUGGAGCACUGGCUGGAUUCCCAUAAAAAGCAAGCUACCGCCUUAUUCCACAGCACAGCACUUCUUUGUUUUUCCACAAGACCUUCUUUAUACUUUAAAACCCUCAGAAGUAGUCCUCACGGGAUAAGGAAUUGCCUGAGGCCAUUGACAGCUGAAGAUAAACAUGGAAGGGAUAAGUUAAAAAAUGCUAACUUGUUGCAAAAGGAAAUAACCUUAUUUUCAACCUUUUUAAGGUUUUUAAGGCUUUUAGCCACUGUGAUGGGAACUUAAGUCUACAGCUGAAAUGGAUUUUUCAGUAUCAUAGCCUGAUCCCAUCUACAUAGUGAAAUAUAACUCAGUGAAAGUGCCAAGUGACAGCAUGAUUCAUACGAAAUUGAAAUGGAAUUCAUUCCUUCUUUAGUGUCAAGGUUCCACCAAAACAUUGGUUUUGUACAAUGUGGAAGGAAUUUUACAACAGCAUGUUAUUGACCAAAGAUUCAGAUCAUUUUUGAGACAAGCCACUGGGUAAUAAUAAGUAUAUAACUUAUUCUCAGUCAAUCUACAUGGAAAAUGAACUAUGCAGAAGAGUAGGCUGUAAAUCUACAGCUAUUUCACACUCAAUAUUCCAGUGGACACUCAGCUCACAAUAGCUACCACUUACUAUGGAGCAAAUCCUCUAGGUAGAUGAGCACUGAGAUUAGAAUUGCAGCAAUGAAAAGUCACUAUUCAGGUUUAAAUGCCAAUAAAGUACAGUUUUAGACUCAAUUCUAAAUAGAAAACAUUCCCUAAAAGGUAAAUGCUUACAAUAAAUUUGUAAACAGAGGUGAAAUGAGUUCCUUUACCUACAUAAAAAUACCAUUUACUGUGUAACCCAGAUUUAAAUAAAAGACCAAAAUAGUUCAUCAAUAAUAUUUACUAUAUAUUUACAUGUAAUACUGCAAUAAACUGGAGUCAAUUAACAUUAUGUUACAAAACAGAACAAAACUUUUUAGAAGGUACCAGUACCUUUCACAUUAUCACAUUCAUGGAACUGUUCUCUUACAUCUCAAAUGAUCUACCAUGAUGAGUUAACAUGGGGAUAUAGACAAGUAAACCCUUGAAUUGGAGCAUAUGCUAACAUGUCAGUUCCCAUUUCAGCAAGGUGCUUCAGGAACAUAAAAUUAAAGCCUAUAAGCAGCACUAGUUUCAGUAGGAUAAACUUAAACACGCACCCUAAUUCCUUGCUGAUCAGGACCUCAUUUUAUGGGACUCCACUGACAAUAAUACAGACUACAACAGUUAUAACUGUACAAGGGCAGGUAUCACAUACCUCAUUUAUUGGCUAUAUAUAAGCAGACUUUUACUUAAAGAU
This is a long non-coding RNA of Cygnus olor (mute swan), 2122 nucleotides long. RefSeq lists it as uncharacterized. The transcript has 2 exons. The record is from RefSeq and is a predicted model, not a curated record. NCBI's taxonomy places the organism in Eukaryota, Metazoa, Chordata, Aves, Anseriformes, Anatidae.